Molecule: long non-coding RNA, 306 nt
Filed under: Vigna radiata
Lineage: Eukaryota; Viridiplantae; Streptophyta; Magnoliopsida; Fabales; Fabaceae
Description: long non-coding RNA (VRAD_LNC008023)
Source: RNAcentral
UCUUCAUUAAAAUUGAUAUUUUUAUUGAAUAAUUUUUAAAACAUUAAAUUUAUAUUAUACAUUGCUUAUUGUGUGCCAUGUCAUUAAGCCACCACCUUCUACCAUCAUCGUUUUCAUCUUCACCGCUACAAGACCUUCGUGCUGCCAUGGCGAAGCAAACCUACAAACCUAAACCACCAUCGCAAAGCCAAAUUGAAGUCUAGGACCUUCAUCACACAUCAGUUUAUCUUCCUGCACCACCAUAGAGACCCAAAUCAAAAUACAAAAACACCAAAAUCAUAGAACCCCAAAUCCCCAAUUUAUUGU